UCGGCACAAAAUCAGGCAAACAGAUCACGCUAACGAAAAUCAAAAAGCGAAAAUCGCAUGACCAAACACUUCUCGAUUGAAAAAACAUCCCGGCUCCUCCGAUUGAACUGAGGAAUUACCGGUUCCGUCAGGAUCGCGAUUCGCUGCGGAGGCUGCUGCUCAUGCGAGCCCGCCAGCCCAAUUGGCAGCGAGCGCCCGAGAAUCGGAAUGCGUGGAGGCGAGACGGAGGAGGUUGAAGAGGAGGAGGAGCUUCUCUCUCCGUGGGGUUUUCUGUAUUUCGGAUUGAGAUCUACG
RNAcentral lists this long non-coding RNA (294 nucleotides) under Eucalyptus grandis. Its description in RNAcentral is "long non-coding RNA (EGRA_LNC007848)". The record is from RNAcentral. Lineage: Eukaryota; Viridiplantae; Streptophyta; Magnoliopsida; Myrtales; Myrtaceae.